RNAcentral lists this ribosomal RNA (747 nucleotides) under uncultured Lachnospiraceae bacterium. Its description in RNAcentral is "bacterial SSU rRNA". It matches the Rfam family "Bacterial small subunit ribosomal RNA", at positions 28 to 776 of the family's 1533-position model. Lineage: Bacteria; Bacillati; Bacillota; Clostridia; Lachnospirales; Lachnospiraceae. The record is from RNAcentral.
GAUGAACGCGGCGGCGUGCUUAACACAUGCAAGUCGAACGAAGCUGCUUAAAGGAAGUCUUCGGAUAGAAUUUAGGUAGACUUAGUGGCGGACGGGUGAGUAACGCGUGGAUAACCUGCCUUAUACAGGGGGAUAACGGAGAGAAAUUUCCGCUAAGACCGCAUAAGACCACAGCACCGCAUGGUGCAGGGGUAAAAUAUUCAUAGGUAUAAGAUGGAUCCGCGUCCGAUUAGCUAGUUGGUGAGGUAAAGGCCCACCAAGGCGACGAUCGGUAGCCGGCCUGAGAGGGUGAACGGCCACAUUGGGACUGAGACACGGCCCAAACUCCUACGGGAGGCAGCAGUGGGGAAUAUUGGACAAUGGGGGAAACCCUGAUCCAGCGACGCCGCGUGAGUGAAGAAGUAUUUCGGUAUGUAAAGCUCUAUCAGCAGGGAAGAAAAUGACGGUACCUGACUAAGAAGCCCCGGCUAACUACGUGCCAGCAGCCGCGGUAAUACGUAGGGGGCAAGCGUUAUCCGGAUUUACUGGGUGUAAAGGGAGCGCAGACGGCAAUGCAAGUCUGAAGUGAAAGGCGUGGGCUCAACCCAUGAACUGCUUUGGAAACUGUAUAGCUUGAGUGUCGGAGGGGUAAGCGGAAUUCCUAGUGUAGCGGUGAAAUGCGUAGAUAUUAGGAGGAACACCGGAGGCGAAGGCGGCUUACUGGACGACAACUGACGUUGAGGCUCGAAGGCGUGGGGAGCAAACAGG